ACCAUCUACAGCAGUAACCACCGGUCAACCUUCUGCAACAGGAACACCAUCUCCAGGUAACCCACUGGCCCACCUUCUGCAACUGAGGACCAUCUACAGCAUAACCACCGGUCAACCUUCUGCAACAGGAACACCAUCUCCAGGUGUAACCACUGGACCACCUACUGUAACUGGAGGACCAUCUACAGCAGUAACCACCGGUCAACCUUCUGCAACAGGAUCACCAUUACCAGGUGAAAGCACGAGUCCACCUUCUGUAACUGGAGGACCAUCUACAGCAGUAACCACCGGUCAACCUUCUGCAACAGGAACACCAUCUCCAGGUUUAAGCACUGGUCCACCUGCUGUAACUGGAGGACCAUCUACAGCAGUAACACCGGUCAACCUUCUGCGACAGGAACACCAUCUCCAGGUGUAACCACUGGACCACCUUCUGUAACUGGAGGACCAUCUACAGCAGUAACACCGGUCAUUCUUCUGCAACAGAAAACCAUCUCCAGGUGUAAGUACUGGUCCGACUUCUACAACUGCAGGACCAUCUACAGCAGUAACAACCAGACAAUCUUC
Molecule: long non-coding RNA, 567 nt
Filed under: Mytilus galloprovincialis (Mediterranean mussel)
Lineage: Eukaryota; Metazoa; Mollusca; Bivalvia; Mytilida; Mytilidae
Source: RNAcentral